This 991-nucleotide ribosomal RNA is filed under the name Triticum aestivum (bread wheat). RNAcentral's name for it is "partial small subunit ribosomal RNA". Lineage: Eukaryota; Viridiplantae; Streptophyta; Magnoliopsida; Poales; Poaceae. The record is from RNAcentral.
GUUGCAAAGAUGAAUACAGUGAGGAUUCUAAUCUCAUGUGCAGCUAACUUUGGAUGGCCACUACACCAACUUGAUGUAAAAAAUGCCUUUUUACAUGGAGAUCUACAAGAGGAAGUCUACAUGGAAAUUCCUCCUGGACUUUCUACACCUGGGACUGUUGGGAAGGUUUGUAGAUUGAGAAAAUCUCUCUAUGGUUUGAAGCAAUCGCCAAGGGCUUGGUUUGACCGGUUCAGGCAAGCAGUUUGCAGUAUGGAGUAUAAACAAUGCAAUGGAGAUCACACUGUUUUCUAUAAACAUUCCAAGCAACAGAUUACUAUUCUUGCAGUAUAUGUGGAUGACAUCAUAAUAACGGGAGACAAUGAAGAGGAGAUUGGAAGACUAAAGAAAUGCCUAGGCAAAGCAUUUGAAGUUAAGGAUCUUGGUCAGCUAAAAUAUUUCCUGGGUAUCGAAGUUGCAAGAUCAAAGAGGGGAAUAGCCCUGUCUCAGCGAAAAUAUACCUUAGAGCUCCUAAGUGAUAUGGGAAUGCUUGGAUGUAGAGCAGCCCCAACUCCCAUUGAACAAAAUCACAAAUUGACAGCACAGAUGGGUGAACAAGUUAACAAAGCAAAAUAUCAACAAUUGGUUGGCAAACUUCUGUACUUGUGUCACACUAGACCAGAUAUUACAUAUGCAGUAAGUGUAGUAAGUAGAUAUAUGCAUGACCCCAGAAGUGGACACCUUGAUGCAGUCUAUAGAAUCAUGAGGUAUCUAAAGGGCAGCCCUGGUAUGGGACUCUGGUUCAAGAGUAAUGGCCAUUUGAAUGUUGACGGUUAUAGCGAUGCUGAUUGGGCUAGCUGUCUUGAUGAUAGACGAUCAACCUCUGGCUAUUGUGUGUUUGUUGGUGGAAAUUUGGUAUCAUGGAGAAGCAAAAAACAACCGGUGGUGUCAAAAUCAACUGCAGAAGCUGAGUAUAGGGCAAUGUCUCAAGGGCUGAGUGAGAUGUUAUGGGUAA